This 1105-nucleotide ribosomal RNA is filed under the name Salmonella enterica subsp. enterica serovar Mbandaka. RNAcentral's name for it is "partial 23S ribosomal RNA". It matches the Rfam family "Bacterial large subunit ribosomal RNA", at positions 1154 to 2215 of the family's 2925-position model. Lineage: Bacteria; Pseudomonadati; Pseudomonadota; Gammaproteobacteria; Enterobacterales; Enterobacteriaceae. The record is from RNAcentral.
CGUAUCACCCAAGACAACUUUACGGAGUUGACGAUUGACGGAGCGAAGCGACGUCAAAGCGUUCAUUAAAGUCGAGUUGGCUUAGGGAUACGUUCGUUGGGUAGGGGAGCGUUCUGUAAGCCUGUGAAGGUGGCCUGUGAGGGUUGCUGGAGGUAUCAGAAGUGCGAAUGCUGACAUAAGUAACGAUAAAGCGGGUGAAAAGCCCGCUCGCCGGAAGACCAAGGGUUCCUGUCCAACGUUAAUCGGGGCAGGGUGAGUCGACCCCUAAGGCGAGGCCGAAAGGCGUAGUCGAUGGGAAACGGGUUAAUAUUCCCGUACUUGGUGUUACUGCGAAGGGGGGACGGAGAAGGCUAUGUUGGCCGGGCGACGGUUGUCCCGGUUUAAGCGUGUAGGUGUGUGUUCCAGGUAAAUCCGGUUCACUUUAACACUGAGGCGUGACGACGAGGCACUACGGUGCUGAAGCAACAAAUGCCCUGCUUCCAGGAAAAGCCUCUAAGCAUCAGGUAACAUCAAAUCGUACCCCAAACCGACACAGGUGGUCAGGUAGAGAAUACCAAGGCGCUUGAGAGAACUCGGGUGAAGGAACUAGGCAAAAUGGUGCCGUAACUUCGGGAGAAGGCACGCUGACACGUAGGUGAAGUGAUUUACUCAUGGAGCUGAAGUCAGUCGAAGAUACCAGCUGGCUGCAACUGUUUAUUAAAAACACAGCACUGUGCAAACACGAAAGUGGACGUAUACGGUGUGACGCCUGCCCGGUGCCGGAAGGUUAAUUGAUGGGGUCAGCGCAAGCGAAGCUCCUGAUCGAAGCCCCGGUAAACGGCGGCCGUAACUAUAACGGUCCUAAGGUAGCGAAAUUCCUUGUCGGGUAAGUUCCGACCUGCACGAAUGGCGUAAUGAUGGCCAGGCUGUCUCCACCCGAGACUCAGUGAAAUUGAACUCGCUGUGAAGAUGCAGUGUACCCGCGGCAAGACGGAAAGACCCCGUGAACCUUUACUAUAGCUUGACACUGAACAUUGAGCCUUGAUGUGUAGGAUAGGUGGGAGGCUUUGAAGUGUGGACGCCAGUCUGCAUGGAGCCGACCUUGAAAUACCACCCUUUAAUGUUU